This 379-nucleotide ribosomal RNA is filed under the name uncultured eukaryote. Its description in RNAcentral is "partial 18S ribosomal RNA". It matches the Rfam family "Eukaryotic small subunit ribosomal RNA", at positions 592 to 976 of the family's 1831-position model. The record is from RNAcentral.
CAAUAGCGUAUAUUAAAGUUGUUGCAGUUAAAAAGCUCGUAGUUGGAUUUCGGAUGGGAUUUGCCGGUCCGUCGUUACGAUGUGCACUGGCCAGUCCUAUCUUGUUGUCGGGGACUAGCUCCUUGGAUUCACUUCCUGGGACUAGGAGCUGACGAGGUUACUUUGAGUAAAUUAGAGUGUUCAAAGCAAGCCUACGCUCUGAAUACAUUAGCAUGGAAUAACACGAUAGGACUCUGGCUUAUCUUGUUGGUCUGUGAGACCAGAGUAAUGAUUAAGAGGGACAGUCGGGGACAUUCGUAUUUCAUUGUCAGAGGUGAAAUUCUUGGAUUUAUGAAAGACGAACUUCUGCGAAAGCAUUUGGCAAGGAUGUUUUCAUUAA